GGUUCUGUGUGGGGUUUGUUUGGUACCUUGUGUGACAGUUUUGCUUAUCAAGACUCUGGAGAGGUCGGUAGGGCAACAGAUGGUGAUGAGGUAUGGACUGAUUUCGAGCGCUGGUCUGUGUGAUGACGAGUUCGAUCUUCAAGGGCCAGCAGAGGAUUCCGUUUCUUUCAGCUAUGAGGAGCCAGUGUUGGAUGAGACUGUUAUUUUUGAGGGAUGAGACCGUAUUGUUAUGAAGCUUGUAAUACAAAUCCUAAUGGAAGUGUUACAAUUGGAUUUAGACCGAUAACAGUCAUGAAUGAAUAUCUGAUGUACAUACAUUAUAUUCCCUUGUAUUAAUUUAGAUUAUUUGUUAUGUUUCCUUGUAGGAUAUUAGUUUCAGGAUGUAUCAUCUAGUCAUUUAAGGGUGGAUUGAUAAGGAAAUGUGUUUUAAUAAAUGACUGGAAUGUUACAGUCCUGAAACCAUAGGUCUGAUACCAUGUGACUGUAUGAAACCAUAGGUCUGAUACCAUAGGUCUGAUACCAUGUGACUAUAUGAAACCAUAGGUCUGAUACCAUGUGAUUAUAUGAAACCAUAGGUCUGAUACCAUAGGUCUGAUACCAUGUGACUGUAUGAAACCAUAGGUCUGAUACCAUAGGUCUGAUACCAUGUGACUGUAUGAAACCAUAGGUCUGAUACCAUGUGAUUAUAUGAAACCAUAG
This is a long non-coding RNA of Oncorhynchus tshawytscha (Chinook salmon), 699 nucleotides long. Lineage: Eukaryota; Metazoa; Chordata; Actinopteri; Salmoniformes; Salmonidae. The record is from Ensembl.